This 450-nucleotide ribosomal RNA is filed under the name uncultured Desulfobulbus sp. RNAcentral describes it as "bacterial SSU rRNA". It matches the Rfam family "Bacterial small subunit ribosomal RNA", at positions 934 to 1382 of the family's 1533-position model. The record is from RNAcentral. Lineage: Bacteria; Pseudomonadati; Thermodesulfobacteriota; Desulfobulbia; Desulfobulbales; Desulfobulbaceae.
GUAGUUGUGGUUUAAUUCGAUGCAACGCGAGAACUUACCUGGUCUUGACAUCCCGGAGACCUUUAGGAAACUAGGGGUGCUUCCAUCUGGAAGAAUCUGGAGACAGGUGCUGCAUGGCUGUCGUCAGCUCGUGUCGUGAGAUGUUGGGUUAAGUCCCGCAACGAGCGCAACCCUUGCCUUUAGUUGCCAGCAGUUCGGCUGGGCACUCUAAAGGGACUGCCGGUGUUAAACCGGAGGAAGGUGGGGAUGACGUCAAGUCCUCAUGGCCUUUAUGACCAGGGCUACACACGUACUACAAUGGCCGAUACAAAGGGCAGCGACACUGCGAGGUGAAGCCAAUCCCGUAAAAUCGGUCUCAGUCCGGAUUGGAGUCUGCAACUCGACUCCAUGAAGUUGGAAUCGCUAGUAAUCGUGGAUCAGCGUGCCACGGUGAAUACGUUCCCGGGCCUU